This 429-nucleotide ribosomal RNA is filed under the name Gemmatimonadota bacterium. RNAcentral's name for it is "Gemmatimonadetes bacterium partial 16S ribosomal RNA". It matches the Rfam family "Bacterial small subunit ribosomal RNA", at positions 355 to 776 of the family's 1533-position model. Lineage: Bacteria; Pseudomonadati; Gemmatimonadota. The record is from RNAcentral.
UAGGGAAUCUUCGGCAAUGGACGAAAGUCUGACCGAGCAACGCCGCGUGAGUGAAGAAGGUUUUCGGAUCGUAAAACUCUGUUGUUAGAGAAGAACAAGGACGUUAGUAACUGAACGUCCCCUGACGGUAUCUAACCAGAAAGCCACGGCUAACUACGUGCCAGCAGCCGCGGUAAUACGUAGGGGGCAAGCGUUGUCCGGAUUUAUUGGGCGUAAAGCGAGCGCAGGCGGUUUCUUAAGUCUGAUGUGAAAGCCCCCGGCUCAACCGGGGAGGGUCAUUGGAAACUGGGAGACUUGAGUGCAGAAGAGGAGAGUGGAAUUCCAUGUGUAGCGGUGAAAUGCGUAGAUAUAUGGAGGAACACCAGUGGCGAAGGCGGCUCUCUGGUCUGUAACUGACGCUGAGGCUCGAGAGCGUGGGGAGCAAACAGG